This is a non-coding RNA of Leptolyngbya sp. NIES-2104, 1492 nucleotides long. The record is from Rfam. Lineage: Bacteria; Bacillati; Cyanobacteriota; Cyanophyceae; Leptolyngbyales; Leptolyngbyaceae.
AACAUGGAGAGUUUGAUCCUGGCUCAGGAUGAACGCUGGCGGUAUGCUUAACACAUGCAAGUCGAACGGAAGACUUCGGUCUUUAGUGGCGGACGGGUGAGUAACGCGUGAGAACAUGCCUAUCGAUUGGGGACAACAGUUGGAAACGACUGCUAAUACCGAAUGUGCCCUUUGGGGUGAAAGAUUUAUCGUCGAUAGAUUGGCUCGCGUCAGAUUAGCUAGUAGGAGUGGUAACGGCACCCCUAGGCGACGAUCUGUACUUGGUCUGAGAGGAUGACCAGGCACACUGGAACUGAGACACGGUCCAGACUCCUACGGGAGGCAGCAGUGGGGAAUUUUCCGCAAUGGGCGCAAGCCUGACGGAGCAAUACCGCGUGAGGGAGGACGCUUUUUGGAGUGUAAACCUCUUUUAUUAGGGAAGAAAUGAUGACGGUACCUAAUGAAUCAGCAUCGGCUAACUCCGUGCCAGCAGCCGCGGUAAUACGGAGGAUGCAAGCGUUAUCCGGAAUUAUUGGGCGUAAAGCGUCCGUAGGUGGCAGUUCAAGUCUUUUGUCAAAGCGUGCGGCUUAACCGCAUACGGGCGGAGGAAACUGGGCUGCUAGAGUGCGAUAGGGGUUACAGGAAUUCCCAGUGUAGCGGUGAAAUGCGUAGAUAUUGGGAAGAACACCAGCGGCGAAAGCGUGUGACUGGGUCUGCACUGACACUGAGGGACGAAAGCUAGGGGAGCGAAAGGGAUUAGAUACCCCUGUAGUCCUAGCCGUAAACGAUGACAACUAGGUGUGGUUCGUAUCGACCCGAGCCGUGCCGUAGCCAACGCGUUAAGUUGUCCGCCUGGGGAGUACGCACGCAAGUGUGAAACUCAAAGGAAUUGACGGGGGCCCGCACAAGCGGUGGAGUAUGUGGUUUAAUUCGAUGCAACGCGAAGAACCUUACCAAGGCUUGACAUCCUCGGAAUCCCUGUGAAAGUAGGGAGUGCCUUCGGGAGCCGAGAGACAGGUGGUGCAUGGCUGUCGUCAGCUCGUGUCGUGAGAUGUUGGGUUAAGUCCCGCAACGAGCGCAACCCACGUUUUUAGUUGCCAGCAUUCAGUUGGGCACUCUAGAGAGACUGCCGGUGACAAACCGGAGGAAGGUGUGGAUGACGUCAAGUCAGCAUGCCCCUUACGCCUUGGGCUACACACGUACUACAAUGCGUUGGACAAAGAGUCGCAAGCUAGCGAUAGCAAGCCAAUCUCAUAAACCAACGCUCAGUUCAGAUUGCAGGCUGCAACUCGCCUGCAUGAAGGCGGAAUCGCUAGUAAUCGCAGGUCAGCAUACUGCGGUGAAUACGUUCCCGGGCCUUGUACACACCGCCCGUCACACCAUGGGAGUUGGUCACGCCCGAAGUCGUUACUCUAACCGUUCGCGGAGGAGGAUGCCGAAGGUGGGGCUGAUGACUGGGGUGAAGUCGUAACAAGGUAGCCGUACCGGAAGGUGUGGCUGGAUCACCUCCUUA